AGUACCUUCGGUUUGCACGACAUUGAAUGCUGCAUAUUCCAGCAAAAAGCCAAAUACUCUAGGAGAAAUGAGCUCCGGUUCUAAGCGACGGCUAACUAAGUAACCCGUUAUAUGUCGUAACAACGGAGUAGUAAAAUCAACUUGAGGGAAGUUUACUUGGUUCUCUAACGUUGAAACCAACGAUAAAAGAACAUGCACAUCUUUUUGUAACUCCUCCGUCAACACUUCCCAAAAUCCAUUAAGGAUUGAUAAUUGAAGAGCAACACUAUUAGAAGAUGGUGCAGUAUUGUUACCAAGGGAAACUUUUGGAUCAAUGUGUUUACGAAGUAGACGAAGUGCAACAUCAAUCUUUCCGUUCUCAAUGAAAGCUUUGUAAACGUUCGAAAACGUAAAGUUAGUGUGAGAAGACACAGAACAAAUAACGGGAUAUGCAUGUAAAUGAAGUAGAUCGACAUUCCCUGAUCUGGCAAGCAAGUCCAGAUAACGGAGAAGCACUGCAUGACAGUCGCUAAAUCGAGAUAAUGUAUAUUUUCUCACAAAAGCAAUAGCAAACUUGUCGUUGUUGUUCAAACAAGCCGCCUCCAAUAUGGACGAUAAUGUAGACGGACUCGCUUUGUAAGUGCUAAUCUUUUCUAUAGCCAUACCAAGCCAUUCAGCAGAUUCCUUAUAAUGUCCUAAUUGAGCCAAUCUACGUAAAAAGCAGUCUAAUAUUGAAGACGGUAUAACUUGAUUGCUAUCAGCCUUUCGGAAAAAAGAUUUCAUCAAUGCACUUGCUUCAACAUGGUGAUCUGUGUCAAAAUAAGCUUCCAUUAAACCUUCCCAAGAACGCACAUUAGUCAUCGAAGUGUCACUAGUUGGAUCAGAUAAGUUAUAACGCUC
This is a non-coding RNA of Schizosaccharomyces pombe (fission yeast), 879 nucleotides long. The record is from the annotation of a GenBank genome assembly. Lineage: Eukaryota; Fungi; Ascomycota; Schizosaccharomycetes; Schizosaccharomycetales; Schizosaccharomycetaceae.